Molecule: ribosomal RNA, 410 nt
Filed under: uncultured Geobacter sp.
Lineage: Bacteria; Pseudomonadati; Thermodesulfobacteriota; Desulfuromonadia; Geobacterales; Geobacteraceae
Description: bacterial SSU rRNA
Rfam family: Bacterial small subunit ribosomal RNA
Source: RNAcentral
GAACCUUACCAGGUCUUGACAUCCCCCGCGAUGCUUUAGAGAUAAAGCGGAGGUAUUCGGGAGACAGGUGGUGCAUGGUUGUCGUCAGCUCGUGUCGUGAGAUGUUGGGUUAAGUCCCGCAACGAGCGCAACCCCUAUCUUUAGUUGCCAUCAGUUCGGCUGGGCACUCUAUGGAGACUGCCACCUAAAGUGGAGGAAGGUGGGGAUGACGUCAAGUCAGCAUGGCCCUUACGUCCGGGGCUACACACGUGCUACAAUGGCCGGUACAAAGGGUUGCGAAGCCGUGAGGUGGAGCGAAUCUCAAAAAGCCGGCCUCAGUUCGGAUUGGAGGCUGCAACUCGCCUCCAUGAAGUCGGAAUCGCUAGUAACCGCAGAUCAGCUACGUUGCGGUGAAUACGUUCCCGGGCCUU